AUGGUUAGGUGGUCAGAGAUCUGCAAGCCUCGCGACCAGGGCGGUCUCGGGAUCAUGUCCUCCAAGCACAUGAACAUUGCCCUUCUGACUCGGUGGCUUUGGCGGAUUGCCAACGGCGAUGGUGGUAUAUGGCUUCGCAUCAUUCAGCAGAAAUACCUCCGCGGCCAACCCCUCGCUUUCUGCCAGCGGUCUAGGGGCUCCUAG
RNAcentral lists this ribosomal RNA (204 nucleotides) under Triticum aestivum (bread wheat). Its description in RNAcentral is "partial small subunit ribosomal RNA". Lineage: Eukaryota; Viridiplantae; Streptophyta; Magnoliopsida; Poales; Poaceae. The record is from RNAcentral.